Leopardus geoffroyi (Geoffroy's cat) is the source of this 1051-nucleotide long non-coding RNA. RefSeq lists it as uncharacterized. The transcript is spliced from 2 exons. The record is from RefSeq and is a predicted model, not a curated record. Lineage: Eukaryota; Metazoa; Chordata; Mammalia; Carnivora; Felidae.
GGUUGGAGGGAGGGAAGGAUGGGUUGUUUAGCUUCACAUUAAAUACUGCGUUUUAGGUUUAUGAAGUUCUACUGAAAUUGGAGGUCCUUAUUUCCCUCUUCACAAAGGUACAGGAUUAACUCAGAAUAUGUUUGUGCUGUGAUUCACUGCAGGAGGCCAUAUGCUGACAGUGCAGAGCUUCGCAUCCCCAAAGAUAAUAUUUGAAUUUUAAAAGAGUGUUUAAGUGGAGCACUUGACUUUCUUGUCUUUGUUUUGAGACCCUUUUUGUUUUUUUAUUAUUGUUCUUUAUUCCAGGCUUGUGAAUCUGUCCAAAUAUUUAUAAGCCCACACACAUUUUCUUGCAGCCACUGUCUCCUGUGGCGGCUCACUGGUGGGUAAAUGACUGUUCUUUUGUGCAGCAACACACAUUUACAAUGUUCUGUAGACCACUGGCACUUUCUCUAGCUACAUUAUGUGUCUCAGAUACGUAAGGAAUAAUUUACAGGUUUCAAAUUCUGAACCUGGUAGAGGGCCGACUCCCUCUGUAAAAUGAACAUUAACCAAGGAGGGAUUUUAGAAUAACGUCUUUGUUCAUUUGUUCAGUUAUUAAACAUUUACUCACUGUCUCCCUGGCACUCUGCUGGAGUUUUGUUCUCCAAAGGCUCACAGUUCCAUCAGGGAGGCAGGGCCUGCACCCCCACUUUACACGCACCAUCAUGUAUGUCCACCGUGUAAAGGAGUUAAUGAUUUCUUUGGAGUCUUUCCAGAACAAUAGAGAACAUCUAAGGAGUGUCCAAGAGAGGUCGUCUCAUGAAUGCUUUUUAAGACCACUGACUCCAGACACCUUGACAGCAAGACCCCUGGCUCCAGGGCAUAAGUGACUUAUGGAAGACACCUGAGCCCCCGUCCCUGUUUGGCCAGUUCCUGGAUGCCUGAGAGAUACGUGCACCAGAGCACCGCCCUCAAUAAAAACUCCAGACCCCAAGCAGAGACUCGUGCCCUUUUUCCUUUCCGAAUGUCCCACAGGCUCCGUCUGUAUCUGCUCUGUCUUCAGUAAACCCUGCUCUCACUU